This 326-nucleotide ribosomal RNA is filed under the name uncultured eukaryote. RNAcentral describes it as "partial 18S ribosomal RNA". It matches the Rfam family "Eukaryotic small subunit ribosomal RNA", at positions 1470 to 1796 of the family's 1831-position model. The record is from RNAcentral.
CCCUUAGAUGUUCUGGGCUGCACGCGCGCUACACUGAUGCACUCAACGAGUUUACGACCUUGCCCGAUAGGGUUGGGUAAUCUUUUUAAAAUGCAUCGUGAUGGGGAUAGAUUACUGCAAUUAUUAAUCUUCAACGAGGAAUUCCUAGUAAGCGCGAGUCAUCAGCUCGUGCUGAUUACGUCCCUGCCCUUUGUACACACCGCCCGUCGCUCCUACCGAUUGAGUGCUCAGGUGAAUAAUUCGGACUGCAGCAAUGUUUGGAUCCCGAACGUUGCAGCGGAAAGUUUAGUGAACCUUAUCACUUAGAGGAAGGAGAAGUCGUAACA